This 601-nucleotide ribosomal RNA is filed under the name uncultured bacterium. RNAcentral describes it as "bacterial SSU rRNA". It matches the Rfam family "Bacterial small subunit ribosomal RNA", at positions 731 to 1337 of the family's 1533-position model. The record is from RNAcentral.
AGGCCUUUACUGACGCUAAAGCUCGAAGGUGCGGGUAUCGAACAGGAUUAGAUACCCUGGUAGUCCGCACGGUAAACGAUGGAUGCCCGCUGUUUGCGAUAUACUGUGAGCGGCCAAGAGAAAUCGUUAAGCAUCCCACCUGGGGAGUACGCCGGCAACGGUGAAACUCAAAGGAAUUGACGGGGGCCCGCACAAGCGGAGGAACAUGUGGUUUAAUUCGAUGAUACGCGAGGAACCUUACCCGGGCUUGAACUGCAGGGGAACGAUCCAGAGAUGGUGAGGUCAGCAAUGACCCCUGUGGAGGUGCUGCAUGGUUGUCGUCAGCUCGUGCCGUGAGGUGUCGGCUUAAGUGCCAUAACGAGCGCAACCCCUUUCAUUAGUUGCCAUCACUUCGGGUGGGCACUCUGGUGAUACUGCCACCGUAAGGUGUGAGGAAGGUGGGGAUGACGUCAAAUCAGCACGGCCCUUACGUCCGGGGCUACACACGUGUUACAAUGGGUGAUACAGAGGGCCGGUGCAUGGCAAUGUGCAUCAAAUCUUAAAAGUCAUCCUCAGUUCGGAUUGGGGUCUGCAACCCGACCCCAUGAAGCUGGAUUCGCUA